Molecule: non-coding RNA, 26 nt
Filed under: Mus musculus (house mouse)
Lineage: Eukaryota; Metazoa; Chordata; Mammalia; Rodentia; Muridae
Source: RNAcentral
UAACUGUCGAUGGCAAAAGAAUUCCC